Molecule: long non-coding RNA, 1946 nt
Organism: Malania oleifera
Lineage: Eukaryota; Viridiplantae; Streptophyta; Magnoliopsida; Santalales; Ximeniaceae
Exons: 2
Source: RefSeq, a predicted model, not a curated record
AGGUGGUAUGACAAAGGACCUUGUCAUUCCAGCGAUGCCUUCCAUUGGACGAAUACCCUCCUCUCCUAUCAUUGUGAUAUACAGCGCUCCUGCAGCUCCGACUUCGUCACUCUCCCCUGCACCUUCUCUGCCAAAGGCCUUGAAAGAUCGCAAGUGGCGGCAUGCUAUGUUCGAAGAGUUCAUUGCAUUGGUUAAACAUGGUAUAUAGGAACUGGUUCCAUUGUGCUUUAAAAUCAAACCUGUUGACUGCAAAUGAGUUUUCUGCAUCAAACGGAAUCUUUAUGGUAGUAUUUCUCAUUAUAAAGCCCAAUUAGUGGCCAAGAGUUUUCAUCAACGGCCUGGCUUUGACUAUAAUAGACGUUCAGCCUUGCUGUGAAGCCAAUAACUAUUUGGGUUGUCCUCUCCAUUGCUGCUUAGAAAAAUUGGCCUCUUCACCAGCUGGAUGUUAAUAAUGCGUUUCUCCAUGACCACCUUCAGGGGGAUGUAUUCAUGGUUCAACCUCCAGGUUUUGUUGAUCCUAAUUUGCAUUCUUAUGUUUACAGGUUAAAUUGGUCUUUGCAUGACUUGAAAAUAGCACCUUGUGCUUGGUAUUAAGAAUUGAGUGCUUGUCUUCUUCAACUCAAUUUUCAAAAGUUUAAAUCUGAUUCUUCUCUAUUUAUCUACAUGAGUGCUGAUGUUACUAUCUAUUUUUUGGUAUAUGUCGAUGAUCUCUUAAUCACUGGGAGUAACUCUGGUGCUAUUUCUAAGGUUGUUCAAUAGCUCGAUCGUCGAUUUUCUCUGAAAGAUCUUGGUCCCUUGCAUUACUUUCUUGGUGUUGAGGUGAUUUCAAUUCCCCAUGGAUUGUUCCUAUCCCAAGAAAAGUAUAUUCGGGAUCUCCUUUCUCGCACUAAGAUGGAUGGUGCUAAGACAAUGAUUACUCCACUUGCCACAAAGGAUCUUCUUUAGCUCCAAGAUGACUCUUCUCCUGCUGAUCCAACUGAAUUUCGUCUAUUUAUAGCAACUCUUCAAUAUCUUUCUCUAACCAGACAUUGCCUUCUCGGUCAAUAAGAUGACUCAACUCAGACAUAAACCAUUUCAGCUCCUUUGGACCAUUGCCAAGCGUAUUCGGCUAUACUUGAAAGGUACUCUUCAUCAUGACAUCCUCCUCAAGUGCACUGAGAAUCUCACUCUUCAAGGGUUUUCGGAUGCUAAUUGGGCCGAUGAUAGGGAUACCAAAUCCUCCACCUCUACCUAUCUUAUUUUUUUGGGUGAUUGUCCCAUUUCAUGGAACACGCGCAAGCAGUGUGCUGUGGCUCGUUUCUCCACUAAGGCGGAAUAUCAGACUCUUACUUUACCCACCUCCGAGCUUGUUUGAAUUUUCUCCUUGUUUUAAGAACUUGGUAUUCUGAUUCCUAAGCCCCUACAUCUAUUUUAUGAUAAUAUUGGUGCUUGUCAAUUGAGUCUUAACCUUGUUAUGCAUUCACGAAUGAAGCAUAUCGCUAUUGAUCUUCAUUUUAUUCGUGAUUUGGUUGCAAAAGUUUUGUUACAAAUCUCUUAUGUUAGCACCCAUGAUCAACUUGUCGAUCUCUUAGUUAAGGCUCUAUUCCGUCACAAUUUCACUCUAUGUGCUCCAAGAUUGGAUUAACUGAUGGCACGCCUAUCUUGUGGGGGCGUAUUAAGGAAAUUUAUAGAGAAUCCUAGCAGUUGAAGAUUUGCGAAUAUUUGAUUGUAUGCAUGGAUCUGGGAUUCUUCAUAUUGUAUUAUUUGAAUAUCUGUUUGUAUUUGAUAGUCUAGUUACUUCUUGAUUUAGUAUUUAAAUACUUUUGAAUUUGUAUUUGAAUUUAAUAGUCUAGAAUCUCUUUGAUUUAGUAUUUAAAUACUUUUGAAUUUGUAACAAACUAUAUCUUGUACAAGUCCUAUAUAUAUGACACCUCUACAUCAAUGAAAGUGUCUUACAUUUUCUAUAA